This 26-nucleotide non-coding RNA is filed under the name Macaca fascicularis (crab-eating macaque). The record is from RNAcentral. Lineage: Eukaryota; Metazoa; Chordata; Mammalia; Primates; Cercopithecidae. RNAcentral also lists the same sequence under 3 other names.
AUUUCCGUGGAGAGGAACAAUUCUGA